UGGGGAAUUUUGGACAAUGGGCGAAAGCCUGAUCCAGCAAUGCCGCGUGUGUGAAGAAGGCCUUCGGGUUGUAAAGCACUUUUGUCCGGAAAGAAAUCCUUGGCUCUAAUACAGUCGGGGGAUGACGGUACCGGAAGAAUAAGCACCGGCUAACUACGUGCCAGCAGCCGCGGUAAUACGUAGGGUGCAAGCGUUAAUCGGAAUUACUGGGCGUAAAGCGUGCGCAGGCGGUUUGCUAAGACCGACGUGAAAUCCCCGGGCUCAACCUGGGAACUGCAUUGGUGACUGGCAGGCUAGAGUAUGGCAGAGGGGGGUAGAAUUCCACGUGUAGCAGUGAAAUGCGUAGAGAUGUGGAGGAAUACCGAUGGCGAAGGCAGCCCCCUGGGCCAAGUACUGACGCUCAUGCACGAAAGCGUGGGGAGCAAAACAGGAUUAGAUACCCUGGUAGUCCACGCCCUAAACGAUGUCAACUAGUUGUUGGGGAUUCAUUUCCUUAGUAACGUAGCUAACGCGUGAAGUUGACCGCCUGGGGAGUACGUCGCAAGAUUAAAACUCAAAGGAAUUGACGGGGUCAUAGCUGUUUCCU
Molecule: ribosomal RNA, 586 nt
Filed under: uncultured bacterium
Lineage: Bacteria
Description: partial 16S ribosomal RNA
Rfam family: Bacterial small subunit ribosomal RNA
Source: RNAcentral